GAUGAAGAACGUAGCGAAAUGCGAUAAGUAAUGUGAAUUGCAGAAUUCAGUGAAUCAUCGAAUCUUUGAACGCACAUUGCGCCCGCCAGUAUUCUGGCGGGCAUGCCUGUCUGAGCGUCAUUUCAACCCUCAAGCAACUUCUGCUUGGUGUUGGGGAUCGGCCGUCAAACGCCGCCCCCGAAAUCUAUUGGCGAUCUCGCUGUAGCUUCCUAUGCGUAGUAGUAACAUCUCGCAUCUGGAGAGCGGCGCGGUCAUGCCGUAAAACACCCAACUUCUGAAUGUUGACCUCGGAUCAGGUAGGAAUACCCGCUGAACUUAAGCAUAUCAAUAAGCGGAGGA
RNAcentral lists this unclassified non-coding RNA (339 nucleotides) under soil metagenome. Its description in RNAcentral is "partial contains 5.8S ribosomal RNA, internal transcribed spacer 2, and large subunit ribosomal RNA". The stretch from base 1 to 120 matches the Rfam family "5.8S ribosomal RNA", at positions 35 to 154 of the family's 154-position model. The record is from RNAcentral.